UGGGCUUAUCAGUCCGGGGUCACCGCGCUGUCAGUCGGUCCUGUAUGCCGGGACUGGCUCACACUUUGCAUCUGGUGUGGAAGGUAUAAUACAUCCUCCCCAUGUGCCUUUGCAGAUGCUAGACAGCAGCGCACUACCCUCCAAUCAAGGAGACCAGACUUAGAUGGUUUCCUCAAUCAAGAAUGCCAUGUGAUAUGAACAUAAGAAAUAGAAGAGAGACGGUUCUUGAUUAGCUGUCAGAUGGCCAGGAUUUCAGUAGCUCAAUGGAAAAUAUACAAGAAUUAAACUAGUAUUGGGACCUCAGGUCAAAGUUUAAUAAACCAGCAAGUAGCGUCCCAGAUACUGUAAAUGAUAUCACUUUUCCUAUGCUCUGAUAUGUGCUUAUUGA
Pseudophryne corroboree (corroboree frog) is the source of this 388-nucleotide long non-coding RNA. RefSeq lists it as uncharacterized. The transcript is spliced from 3 exons. The record is from RefSeq and is a predicted model, not a curated record. NCBI's taxonomy places the organism in Eukaryota, Metazoa, Chordata, Amphibia, Anura, Myobatrachidae.